GCUUCCGUAGCUCAAUUGGUUAAGAGCGGCCGCCUAGACUGCGGCUGAUGCGGGUUCGAGUCCCGUCCGAAGCG
This 74-nucleotide transfer RNA is filed under the name Leguminivora glycinivorella. RNAcentral describes it as "tRNA-Ser". It matches the Rfam family "tRNA". From Rfam's summary of the family: Transfer RNA (tRNA) molecules are approximately 80 nucleotides in length. Their secondary structure includes four short double-helical elements and three loops (D, anti-codon, and T loops). Further hydrogen bonds mediate the characteristic L-shaped molecular structure. tRNAs have two regions of fundamental functional importance: the anti-codon, which is responsible for specific mRNA codon recognition, and the 3' end, to which the tRNAs corresponding amino acid is attached (by aminoacyl-tRNA synthetases). tRNAs cope with the degeneracy of the genetic code in two manners: having more than one tRNA (with a specific anti-codon) for a particular amino acid; and 'wobble' base-pairing, i.e. permitting non-standard base-pairing at the 3rd anti-codon position. Lineage: Eukaryota; Metazoa; Arthropoda; Insecta; Lepidoptera; Tortricidae. The record is from RNAcentral.